GUAAAAGUGGCAGAAUUAGUGCAUUGGAUUUAGGCUCUAAAAAUAAAGAUAAAACUUUCUUUUACU
Molecule: transfer RNA, 66 nt
Filed under: Cyclophorus martensianus
Lineage: Eukaryota; Metazoa; Mollusca; Gastropoda; Architaenioglossa; Cyclophoridae
Description: tRNA-Leu
Rfam family: tRNA
About the family: Transfer RNA (tRNA) molecules are approximately 80 nucleotides in length. Their secondary structure includes four short double-helical elements and three loops (D, anti-codon, and T loops).
Source: RNAcentral